This 476-nucleotide ribosomal RNA is filed under the name uncultured Planctomycetales bacterium. RNAcentral describes it as "bacterial SSU rRNA". It matches the Rfam family "Bacterial small subunit ribosomal RNA", at positions 364 to 830 of the family's 1533-position model. The record is from RNAcentral. Lineage: Bacteria; Pseudomonadati; Planctomycetota; Planctomycetia; Planctomycetales.
UUUCGCAAUGCCCGAAAGGGUGACGAAGCGACGCCGCGUGUGGGAAGAAGGCCUUCGGGUUGUAAACCACUGUCGGGAGUUAAGAAAUGUAAGGAUGUUAAUAGCGUUCUUACUUGACUAAGGCUCCGGAGGAAGCCACGGCUAACUCUGUGCCAGCAGCCGCGGUAAUACAGAGGCGGCAAGCGUUGUUCGGAAUUAUUGGGCGUAAAGAGCACGUAGGCGGCUAUGUAAGUCGGUUGUGAAAGCCUUCCGCUCAACGGGAGAACAGCAGUCGAUACUGCAUAGCUUGAGUGCGGGAGGGGAGAGCGGAACUUCUGGUGGAGCGGUGAAAUGCGUAGAUAUCAGAAGGAACGCCGGCGGCGAAAGCGACUCUCUGGCCCGUAACUGACGCUGAGUGUGCGAAAGCUAGGGGAGCAAACGGGAUUAGAUACCCCGGUAGUCCUAGCCGUAAACGAUGGGCACUAAGUAGAGGGGUU